RNAcentral lists this ribosomal RNA (262 nucleotides) under uncultured bacterium. RNAcentral describes it as "partial 16S ribosomal RNA". It matches the Rfam family "Bacterial small subunit ribosomal RNA", at positions 793 to 1055 of the family's 1533-position model. The record is from RNAcentral.
GUCCACGCCCUAAACGAUGGGUACUAGACGUCGGGAAGCUUGUCUUCUUGGUGUCGCAGCUAACGCAAUAAGUACCCCGCCUGGGGAGUACGGUCGCAAGAUUAAAACUCAAAGGAAUUGACGGGGCCCGCACAAGCGGUGGAGCAUGUGGUUCAAUUCGAUGCAACGCGAAAAACCUUACCUGCCCCUUGACAUCUGGGGAAUCCUGCAGAGAUGCGGGAGUGCCGCAAGGACCCCAAGACAGGUGCUGCAUGGCUGUCGU